GUACUACUGAGGAGUUUCACAACAGGACGAAACGGCUGUCCAAUAC
Molecule: non-coding RNA, 46 nt
Filed under: Schistosoma mattheei
Lineage: Eukaryota; Metazoa; Platyhelminthes; Trematoda; Strigeidida; Schistosomatidae
Source: RNAcentral